Molecule: long non-coding RNA, 2340 nt
Organism: Passer domesticus (house sparrow)
Lineage: Eukaryota; Metazoa; Chordata; Aves; Passeriformes; Passeridae
Exons: 3
Source: RefSeq, a predicted model, not a curated record
AUUCCUUCCCUCAGGAACCCACAGCUGGCACAUCCUGCUUGUCCUAAUAGGAAUUACAUCCUUAUAACCUACAGCAGACAGGAAGACAAGCCUGUCUACCAAGAAAACUGCCAUGCCACUUGAAACUUUUCAUCUUUUCCAGGCUGUAGCAUGCUUCAGAAAACCCUAUCCCAGCAUUUCCUGGAGAAGACAGAAAUUGUCCGGUCCACCGCGCUGAUGGCAGCAUCAUUAAAUUUCCCUCAGCUUCUUUCCAGCUGCUACCACCAGCUAUGAGAAAUGAUGCAGGAACAGAUCUCCCUACCAGACACAGCAAUGUGAAUGUAUCAUCUGCAGAAUUCAAACUAUUCAAGAUGCACUAUUCAAGUCUCUUCUCACAUCCACAGGUAAAAUUCACUACAGUGGAAUGGUUGGAUGAUUUGAAAUAUUUAUAUUGAAGUGGUAAUGCAAAUUAAAGGAGAACUAUCUUGAUAAAACAUCAGAUUAAAGACUGGUGAAUGUAUUCUCUGUUACACUCUGGUGACUGAACUUUAUAUUUAAACUUUAAGAUACUGGUUUCACAGCUUCGGAGUUUAACUAACUGCUUUUCUGAGGUUCACUUUCAAAAUUUACUCAGACAGAGUAAACAUCCUCUGUUUGUAAUUGACAGGAUGUUAGUCCCAGAAGUGUAUUUCCAGCUGCAUCUCAUUACAAUUCUCUCAUGUUGUCACUGCUGAUAUUUCUUCAGUAAAGUUUAAUUAAACAAAAGCACUCGUGCACUGUGAGUGAAAUUGCAGUGAUGAGCUGGUGUACGAGGUGAAGUGUGAUGGUGCUACCAAAACCCAGAUCAGUGAUAUUUAGAAUCCAAAUAUAGGACUUUAAGGGCUCCAUUUCUGACAGCGAGUCUGGUCAGUCCCACCCUUUUUCUGGGCACAGCCAGCCUGGCCGGUUGCACUCUGUUUUGGAGAGGAGCGAGCUCAGCACGUGGGAGGGAGCUGUGCCUUUUGGCCCUGGGGAUGGAGCAGAGCCACUGGCCUAUUUUACUGAACUGUGGAGGCAGUCACAGCCGCUGAUGCCUGUGAGGUGGUGCUGGCACAACGCUGACUGCACAGCUCAGCACCCCCUCAUUAAGCAUCCCAUUGCUCAACCAUGCACGGCCACCAAGAUCCUCCUGGGUGUCCUGAACACAAUGCACAUUCCUCACAUGCUACAGCAGCACAGUCCAUGCUCAGGAGUGAACACGGGUGCACUGCCCUCUCCUGCUUCUUCUCAUCACAGUGUCCUAACCGGUUUCUAAAAAAAUUGUUUGUUUGGGUUUUUUUUUUCUAAGUGGGAGAUCAUACACCUUUGAUUUUUAACACAAAAGCAGUGUUGAGUGUGAAAUAUAUCUGAGGCAUCAGACAGCUGCUUGUGUCCUAGCAUAGAAACCAAAAUGCUUUUUCAAAUAUCACAGGAACUUCAAGCUGAUCCACAGUUUGCCAUAUAUUUUAUCUUGCUAUUUAGAUCCCUUUUUUUUGUAUCAACAGAACUGCUGCACACAGUUUUCCCCUCCUUCCUGAAAGAAGGGACAUGUUCAAGCUGCUCCACUGAAUGGCAGUGGCACUUUCUGUUUGCUCCCAAGGGAUUUCGUGUUUGUAACCACAGUGUAACACAUCCAGCAGCACACGGGGUUUGCAGCACUGCUGUUAAUCCUGUUUCCAAAGCUUUUCCAGAGAGCCCUUACACGCUCUGGCAUCUGAUCCAGGGUAACCCUGCGCUGGCUCCCGGACUCACCGACUUGAAGGCAGCGUAUUAAAACAAGCCCCGAGUUCUGGGCAAGCCAUGCAUAGCAAAGGCGCAUUCCAGGCCCUGGGUUUUUAACGGGAAUUCAGCCUCAUCUGCUCAUCCUUAAAUGUGCAGCGACUCCUCCGUCAAACGCGCGCACUCAGCCUCCCUGAGACGGCAGUGACAGACACCUCCGCAGCCGCGCCACAUCCCGGGAAUUCUCAUUCCCAGCGUCUCUGACAUCAGGCAAAAGCACGCUCCUGUAAACUGCUGGCAAAGCGCCCGUGCCGCAUCCCGGGCUGCUGAUUGCUCCACACAGACACUCCCAGCCAGAUCCUUCAGCUCACACACAAAGCGGGCACUCUGUGCCAGGGAAACCGAAAUCCAGGGGCAGCUACACUGCCAGCCUAGCUCAAAAGGACACUGUUUUCUCCCGGUUUCCCUGUAUUCCUCAAAAUCUGCAAGCUCCCAUCCGCACUUCUCUGGAAUUUCUGGAAUGCGUUAGAUGCGCGGCUCGUAAAUGAUCACAAUGAGUUGUGGCAUAAUGAGUGUACAGUGAGUACACACCACACCAACUUUGUUCAUUUCUAAUUUUGAAAC